Molecule: long non-coding RNA, 3918 nt
Organism: Balaenoptera musculus (blue whale)
Lineage: Eukaryota; Metazoa; Chordata; Mammalia; Artiodactyla; Balaenopteridae
Source: Ensembl
GGGGUGGGGGCCGGCCGAGCUGACCACGCACAGACCCGGCGCGGCGGCACUGCGGCCCCGGGGCAGCCGGCGCCGGGGACAUGCGCUGAUUCGAUCCCUCCGGAGAAGUUUCCUGAGCUUCUGGGAAGGCCUGGUUUCCCCAAAGGAACGAUUUCUGGUAGAAGUCUGAAGGUCUGACCCAAGAAAAAAAAUCCAGUAUAGCCAAUGAAUUGAGGACAAGAAGGUUUCCAAUCAGCUCCUGCUAUGUGGAUAUUUGUUAGCAAUGACUGAUGUGGAAACUACAUAUGCAGAUUUUAUUGCUUCAGGAAGAACGGGUAGAAGAAAUGCAAUACAUGACAUCCUGGUUUCCUCUGCAAGUGGUAACAGCAAUGAAUUAGCCUUGAAAUUAGCAGGUCUUGAUAUCAACAAGACAGAAGGUGAAGAAGAUGCACAGCGAAAUUCAACAGAACAAAGUGGGGAAGCCCAGGGAGAAGCAGCAAAAUCUGAAAGUUAACACUCCACUUUGAUCGAUCUUCAUCAACACCUGACAAUGUCUCAAAUCUCCAGGCCUGGCUGGAAUGCAUUUAUUUCCAAGAGUGAAAAGGGGGAAAAGAAAAUGGCUGUGCUGCAUUGCAGGAACCUGCUUGCUAUGUUAAAAAUGGGGGCAGAGGCUGUGGCUGCAGACAGACUUUUCUCUACCUCUGGCAUCAGCAAUGGUUGAAAUCAUGUGGCUUGUGUUUGGAUGUCAUUUUUGUACGGAUCCUUUCACUUGACCAUAUGAUUAAAUGCUUGUAGAGAGUAGCACCGACCUAGAUGAUGAUUCUUCCUGUAGCAUCUGGCCCCUCACAAUGUCAGAGGAUUUAAUUAUGUCUAAUCGCAAAGGGUUGGUUGAACCCCAGAGUUUAAAUAUCUCUGGCCCAAGUAUUCACCCAGUAAAAGAACCAUCCAGAAAGCACUGUUUUUAGCAUUAUGUAUCUGUGUGUUCCUGCUGUGUUAUUUACACUGUUUUGUAUUAUACAGUAUAGAUGCUCAGCACUGCCCCCUUCUUUGAUUGCUUAUGAAAAACAAAAAUGAUGUACGUUACUUUGAAUUUUUAUACUACUCAUUUUUAAAAGGGCUGCCUAAAAAUUCUGCUCCAUAGUGUGGUGGUGUGCACAGGACAGAACACACAUUUUUUUAAAACUUUAUCUUUCCCCUUAAUUCACAGCUGAUGAAUUAAGUCUAACAGAUUCAUCAAGGCUCCUUUGCUUAUUAUACAGGCAUUUGAAAAUAUCCAUUAAUGUGAAUAUUACCUGAAUUCAGUCUGUUUGGUGUCUACACAGACCAGAAUUCAAACUGCAAAUUUUGUCUUAUUCCCAAGUGGAGAACUUUUUCCAACAAAUAUUUUUAUUUCCAAUUAUGAGGAUUUUUGAGAAUUGGGGAGGUGGGAAAGAGAAUACAAGAUAAUACUAAGCAUGGGAAAUAUUUUCUUCUAUGGAAUCAAAUUUAUCACAGUGCUGUAUGAUACUAUUAAAAUUUGGAGGACAACUUAUCUCCACGGAGCAGCAAAAGAUGUAGAAAAUGAUCUUUCAAUCAUGUGGACACCAAUCACAAAAGUAAAGCCCUUGUGUUGUGUUUUUCAUGUCUUUUUCAGCCCUAUCAGAUCCAAAUGUUAUUAUGCACUUUCUAAUGUUUGUAAACUUUUACUAAUAAUUAGUGUGAAUUACAUUCUGAUACAAUAAUAAUCAUCAUUAGAAGCUGACAAAAUCCUCAUUAAUACUGUUAGUGGCCUCUGCUGUGUUUUGACAUCAUGGUUCUUAUAUGGAAAGUUUCUAUGAGCUGUGUAAUCCCACUGGUCAGUAUUAUGAAAUUAUUUCUCAGUGGUAAUAUAUAAGGCACCAGUAAUAUGCCAAUGGCUCAUGAAUUACUGGACAAAUGGCAGGCAACAGGAAGACCCUUUGCAAUAAAGACCCCACUUAACUGUCCUUGAGGUCUUAGAUACAAUCCCAUGUGAAGUAGGUUAAGCAGCGUUUCAACAGAUAAUCUAUAUGGACAUACCAGGAACUCAGCCCUCCUUUGUAGUUACAUAAAGGAUGAAAGGUAAGUCUGCCCUCAUCUCCCUUUACAGUACUUUUUGAAUGAGUGGAAUAAGGGCAUGGGUAUCACAUGGUCCUCAAUCACAUAUUACUAGAAAAAAUGUUAACAGUGUGAGUCUUUGAGACAAUAGGAAAGAUUAAAUUUUAGAGUACUUCCUUCUGCUUAACCCAGUAGGAUCCAAAAUGUCCAGUUAACAUUCAAACAAAUCCACCUAUUAGACUCGCAAGUGGGAAAAGAGGUUCCUGGGGCUAUUUUAGACAGUUUCUUCUAGACUAUUUAGCACAUCCAACCCAUACAAUCACUUUUUAAUAUCCUUAUUUAUUAUCCUCAUAGCUUUCUUGUGAUUCUAGGUAAAGUUCUCUUCAUCCUUAAAAUUGUGGAAUUCCAAACUGAUUUCAUGUGAUUCUGUAAAGUUUAGGACUAGUGCUGAGUAUAUGUGGAGGAUUUAUAUUUCUGUGUGAUAUACUAUUAUUAAUGCAUGUGGUAUCAUGCCUGUCUUUGAAUAUAUAAUAGUUGCUAAAUUGUGAAGUCAUAUGGAGCUUUUGAAUUAUUUUUGACCUCUUACUGCUACUUUGUCUGCUAUAUUCAAAUCCAGAGGUAUUCCCAAGCCAGAAAAUAAAAAUCAGCUUUCCAAAACAUUCACAUCCUACAAAUGUUGCUCAGCAAAAGUUCAUAGUAUCUUCCAAAUUUUAUCAUAAUAUCUUUUACUUGCAAGUCAGUAACAUACAAGGAAUUGAAUUUUUAAGGAGAGAAAGAGAGUAGAAAACUAAGACACUGAUUUGAUAAUACACAUUGAAUUCCUGUUAACCAACUGACUUUAUGCUAUUCACUUCACAGCACAUACUAUCCCAUUUAAUUCUCAAACAAUUCAAUUAAAGAGGUAGCGUUAUUCCAUUUCACAAAUAAGGAAAUUAAGGCUCAAUAAGGUAUAACUUUUACAAGCUUGAAAAGCUAAUAAAUGAUGAAUAAAAUUUGAAACUGUGUUUAUCUGUCUCCAGGGAGGUUUCUACUGCACACGCCCUAAAGUUGAAGCCAGUUACAGAGCAUGUUUAUCUGGAAGGGAACUUUUAGAGAUGGACUAGAUCAGCCUCCAUAUUUUAGAGGAGGAAACUGAGUCCCAGAAAGGGCAAUUGUUUUUCUCAAGGUUACCUAGAUGAGCAAUGACACAGAUGUGAGUAGCACUUUUAUCUAAAAAAUAAUAAUAAUAAAUUUAAUUUCAACUUAUUUUUUUGUGGUAUACUUCCCAGAAGACAUUUUUCUGACAUGGAGCCUGUAAACUUAGCAUGGUUCAGACUUUUUAUGUUCCAUGCUACUAAUUUUGUUUAAUUAACUAGAAAUUGAAAUUUUCCGUUUUUCAACUUACUUGCAACAAGUGUAAACUUUUCAAAUUUACCUUUUAUCAAUUGUAAGUAUCCUAUGCUGACAUAUUGAUAUCAUAAAUUCAUAGAAAUGUUUUUCCAACAGAUAAUAGACAGGCAGCCUCCAAUUUUUAGGCAAUAUCCCCAAAGCUGUGUACUGUAAAUGCCCAACACUUGAGUCUUACUCAGGCACAGUGGAAAUACACCGUUUUAGAAGAUGACUGAUAAUGGCUAUUUCUCUUCAGAGAAGCAUUAAGGGGUAAAGAAAUGUAACUGCGGGCAAUAGAGUUUCUGAGUGAAGCCAGUAGUAAUAGGGUGAAAAUGUAUAGCCAUAGGUGAAAACAGGAACGGAUCUAUGUUUAUGAUGUCUUAAUAGGGCCUAAAUUGUUCUUUAAUUACAAGUGGCAGUCUCUGAAGUCAUUUGUGAGCUUGUAUGACUUUUGUAUUUAGCAAUGUUGCAUGCUCACAUAAUUGAUAUUAAAAGUAAUACAUUUUUCUGAAAUGU